GUGCUCGCUUCUGCAGCACAUAUACUAAAAUUGGAAUGACACAUAGAGGAUUAGCAUGGCCCCUGUGCAAGGAUGACAUGCAAAUUCGUGAAGCGUUCCAUAUUUUU
Molecule: small nuclear RNA, 107 nt
Organism: Homo sapiens (human)
Lineage: Eukaryota; Metazoa; Chordata; Mammalia; Primates; Hominidae
Source: Ensembl